This is a long non-coding RNA of Danio rerio (zebrafish), 194 nucleotides long. The record is from Ensembl. Lineage: Eukaryota; Metazoa; Chordata; Actinopteri; Cypriniformes; Danionidae.
CUCUGUCUUGAACCACUGUGCUCAGGGGAGAGCGCGAACGCAGUCCCCCACUACCAGAAAUUAUGCAGUCGAGAUUCCCACAUUUGGGGAAUUCGCAGGGGUCAGCGUGGCCGGAGUGCAAUGGCCAAGCCUCGCCCUGGGUGAACCACCUUCUUGAUCAUGGUAUCUCCCCUGCCAGGUAAGUAUGAGUUGCC